AACGAACGCUGGCGGCAUGCCUAACACAUGCAAGUCGAACGAGACCUUCGUGUCUAGUGGCGCACGGGUGCUUAACGCGUGGUAACCUGCCCUUAGGUUCGGAAUAACUCCCCGAAAGGGGUGCUAAUACCGGAUAAUGUCUUCGGACCAAAGAUUUAUCGCCUUUGGAUGGGCCCGCGUUGGAUUCGCUAGUUGGUAGGGUAAAAGCCUACCAAGGCGACGAUCCAUAGCUGGUCUGAGAGGAUGAUCAGCCACACUGGGACAGAGACACGGCCCAGACUCCGACGGGAGGAAGCAGUGGGGAAUAAUGGAGAACGGGAGAAAGACUGAGCAAGCAAGGCCGCGUGAGUGAUGAAGGCCUGAGGGUUGUAAAGCUCGUUUACCAGGGAUGAUAAUGACAGUACCGGGAGAAUAAGCCCCGGCUAACUCCGUG
Molecule: ribosomal RNA, 433 nt
Filed under: uncultured bacterium
Lineage: Bacteria
Description: partial 16S ribosomal RNA
Rfam family: Bacterial small subunit ribosomal RNA
Source: RNAcentral